GGAUUAGAUACCCUGGUAGUCCACACCGUAAACGAUGAGAGCUAGUUGUCUGCAAGCAUGCUUGUAGGUGACGCAGCUAACGCAUUAAGCUCUCCGCCUGGGGAGUACGGUCGCAAGAUUAAAACUCAAAGAAAUUGACGGGGGCCCGCACAAGCGGUGGAGCAUGUGGUUUAAUUCGAAGCAACGCGCAGAACCUUACCUACCCUUGACAUGCCGGUCGCGGUUUCCAGAGAUGGAUCCCUUCAGUUCGGCUGGACCGUGCACAGGUGCUGCAUGGCUGUCGUCAGCUCGUGCCG
This 296-nucleotide ribosomal RNA is filed under the name uncultured bacterium. RNAcentral's name for it is "partial 16S ribosomal RNA". It matches the Rfam family "Bacterial small subunit ribosomal RNA", at positions 775 to 1067 of the family's 1533-position model. The record is from RNAcentral.